RNAcentral lists this ribosomal RNA (247 nucleotides) under uncultured bacterium. Its description in RNAcentral is "partial 16S ribosomal RNA". It matches the Rfam family "Bacterial small subunit ribosomal RNA", at positions 335 to 599 of the family's 1533-position model. The record is from RNAcentral.
AUUCCUACGGGGGGCAGCAGUGGGGAAUAUUGCACAAUGGGGGAAACCCUGAUGCAGCGACGCCGCGUGAGUGAAGAAGUAAUUCGUUAUGUAAAGCUCUAUCAGCAGGGAAGAAAAUGACGGUACCUGAGUAAGAAGCCCCGGCUAACUACGUGCCAGCAGCCGCGGUAAUACGUAGGGGGCAAGCGUUAUCCGGAUUUACUGGGUGUAAAGCGAGUGCAGGCGGGCUAAUAAAGCUGAUGUGAAA